Scomber scombrus (Atlantic mackerel) is the source of this 240-nucleotide long non-coding RNA. RefSeq lists it as uncharacterized. The record is from RefSeq and is a predicted model, not a curated record. Lineage: Eukaryota; Metazoa; Chordata; Actinopteri; Scombriformes; Scombridae. The transcript is spliced from 3 exons.
UGGACACUCUCAGGUAUGGACAGACAAUUAGACUAGAGCCAUGUAACGUCUAUGUUAGCAUGCUGAAAGAGAACGUGCUGCUCUGACCCCCCUCCUCCUUUCAGCCUGCAGCCUGCUGGAGAACGAUGGUUGACGCCAGGUCUGAGGAAGUAUUUCUGUGAACUCACACUGGAUCCAAACACAGUGAACAAAAAACUCAAACUGUCUGAUAACAACAGGAAGGUGACAUAUGUGGAGGAG